Molecule: ribosomal RNA, 328 nt
Filed under: uncultured eukaryote
Lineage: Eukaryota
Description: partial 18S ribosomal RNA
Rfam family: Eukaryotic small subunit ribosomal RNA
Source: RNAcentral
CCCUUAGAUGUCCUGGGCCGCACGCGCGUUACACUGAUGCAUUCAACGAGCUUAUAACCUUGGCCGAGAGGCCUGGGCAAUCUUGUUAACGUGCAUCGUGAUAGGGAUAGAUUAUUGAAAUUAUUAAUCUUGAACGAGGAAUUCCUAGUAAACGCAGAUCAUCAAUCUGCAUUGAUUACGUCCCUGCCCUUUGUACACACCGCCCGUCGCACCUACCGAUUGGAUGGUCCGGUGAAGCCUAGGGAUUGUGGUUCUUGCCGCUUUAUUGUGGCGUGACCGCGAGAACUUGUCUAAACCUUAUCAUCUAGAGGAAGGUGAAGUCGUAACA